RNAcentral lists this long non-coding RNA (393 nucleotides) under Mytilus galloprovincialis (Mediterranean mussel). The record is from RNAcentral. Lineage: Eukaryota; Metazoa; Mollusca; Bivalvia; Mytilida; Mytilidae.
AUCAUGUUAUAUAUUGAUGUGAUUUAAAAUUUUGCAUGAAUAUUUUUUUUCUAUUUUUUUGUUCACCUGCUCACCUGACUUAAACUUUGACUUCUGUUUAAUUUAUGAAAACAUUCCCUGUGUUACAGUCAGCUUAUCGUAUGAUAUAAUUUAUUAUUGAAUAGAGAACAUGAUAUGUCAGAAUCAAGAAAGAUGACAUAAUAUGUCAGAAUCAAGAGACAAAAUGAUAUGUCAGAAUCAGGAAAGAUGACAUUACAUGUCAUUAUCAUAAGAGAUGACCUAACAAUGUCAUAGUCUUGAUAGGCAACAUAUGUCUGAUGAGAUCAUAGUCAGUAUUUUAAGCAUUGUUUAUAAUGUUUAAAGUUUGACAAUUGAUAAUAAAGAAUAUACAAA